AUCCAGUUGAUGAGUGCCAAAUAGGACGAAACGUGCGUCCUGGAU
This 45-nucleotide non-coding RNA is filed under the name Schistosoma curassoni. The record is from RNAcentral. Lineage: Eukaryota; Metazoa; Platyhelminthes; Trematoda; Strigeidida; Schistosomatidae.